AGAAGAACAAGGAUAAGAGUAACUGCUUGUCCCUUGACGGUAUCUAACCAGAAAGCCACGGCUAACUACGUGCCAGCAGCCGCGGUAAUACGUAGGUGGCAAGCGUUGUCCGGAUUUAUUGGGCGUAAAGCGCGCGCAGGCGGUCUUUUAAGUCUGAUGUGAAAGCCCCCGGCUUAACCGGGGAGGGUCAUUGGAAACUGGAAGACUGGAGUGCAGAAGAGGAGAGUGGAAUUCCACGUGUAGCGGUGAAAUGCGUAGAUAUGUGGAGGAACACCAGUGGCGAAGGCGACUCUCUGGUCUGUAACUGACGCUGAGGCGCGAAAGCGUGGGGAGCAAACAGGAUUAGAUACCCUGGUAGUCCACGCCGUAAACGAUGAGU
Molecule: ribosomal RNA, 379 nt
Filed under: Listeria monocytogenes
Lineage: Bacteria; Bacillati; Bacillota; Bacilli; Caryophanales; Listeriaceae
Description: bacterial SSU rRNA
Rfam family: Bacterial small subunit ribosomal RNA
Source: RNAcentral